CAAAAAUCAGACAAAACUGGAGCGAGGAAUAUAAAGGGAUGGUUUUAUUAAACAUAUGAUGGAUAAUUGUAAAAACCUUGCAGAUCAUAGCCGCCCCUAGCAGGAGUUUGAGCGCGGGAAUUCUUGGUGUGACACUAAUCCUAUAAGCCAUAUCAGCUUCCGUUCCACAGGGAAUAUUCAAAUAUGCUAAAAUUCGAGAGUUCAUGUUACGUUCUUCAUUCGUGCUACGUAUUUCGGGGAAAUAGCAUGUCACAGAUCCACCUGCCAACUUCUGCUUUAUGCAAUAUCACCAUUAGACAUUUGACUAUGUAAGUAGACUAUAAACUUGUACAAUUGGUCAUUCUUUAUUGCAAUAUCAUACGGAAGUCGCGAGCCCGUGACUCGGUUAUACUAUGCUUCGCAACAUGCAUGGUUAUAGUUGGAUGCAUAUUAGUAAUAUUUGCCAACGAUUCGACGAACUCAAGCAAAUGCGCCACCUGUCAGAUCUCUUCUAAAUACUAUAAUACAAUUACAACAUAAUUUAAAGUCGUAACUUGGUAUUUAUUGCUGGUUUAUGUUCAGUUGUUUACGAUGUAUUUGUUUGUGGUAUGCGAUAUUGCGGAACAAUACGUUUUAAUUAAAAUUUAAAGUAGAUGAUAUUUUAACGCACUGAGUGGCUGUUGGUACAUUACACGAAAGCGGUAUAAAUAAUUGCAGCUUUGUACGCACUGAUUUAGUGUAAAUGUUUAUACCAUUUUUAAGUUAGUCAAACACCAGAUAUACGCCCAGUAAGUAUAUAUUUGAAACAUCUAGCUAUAACGAUUGGUCAAUCUAUUUUGUGUUUCCCUAACAAAUCGGUGUCUACAGAGCUGCAAUUAUUACACCAUGUUUUAGUAACACCCAGAAAUUUAGAUUGCCCGAAAACAUCGUAGGCCUAACUUCAAUACUAAAAUUCGAGUGCAAUUUUUACAAAUAUAUAUUGGCAAACUUUAUUCAAACAAAGCUGGUGCAUAGAGUACAAAACAUAUUAAAUUUACAAGAAAGACUACAUUAAAAAUUAGAAUUAUACUAGUUAUAACUGAUCAAAAAUUGUUAGGAUAUCGAAGCAAUACUUGGCUACCAUAUUGUCACCACGGAUUGUCUUUCAUGUAAUAUCAUACAUAUACAUACAUUAUUUAAUAUCUAUAGUGAACUCGCGUUGUCAUGCAAACAUGCCCCUCGCAGGUUAUCGGAAUAAACUAAAUUCAUGGAAUCUGCGUCGCAGGCAACUGCGGAGGACAGAAGGAGGAGUAUAAUUGCUUAUAUUUGUACUUUUCUUAGCGUCGAAUGCUAUUUUUCUUAGGUGACAUGUCUAUCAUGGCUAUAGAAACUCAUUUUGCAUAAUGCUUUAUUACAUUUUUAGAGUGACUGUCAUUUCUCUUAAUUCUCGUACACGGCUUUAUUAAACAGCAGGCUAGAACAUAUAUCUACACUGGUACAGACAGUUCAAGAUAAUACCAAUAGCAAAUUUCCGCUUAGUAUAUACGUAAAUGGGACAAGAUUUUUCCUAAGUCCUAACAUAUUUAGCCUACCUGUUGAUAUCUGUGCAGUGCGCAUUGCUCAUAUAUACAAACAUACACAUCCAUGGAGACAGCUAAAUUACAAUAUUAUUAAUUAAUACUAUUAACUGUUAAUAUCACGAACAGUGCUAUUUAAUGCGGUAUACAUGUACAAGCUUACUGAUCUACAUGUAUCUAUGAUAAGCUUCGUUUCGUUCCGACUUUUAAUUCACUAAAUUCAAUAUACUGUAUUUCGUUUAGGUUGUCCUUUUAAAGUCAAAACGCGAAACCGCAAAACACAUCAUGGAGCAUAAUGGGUGCAUAUACUAUCUAUAUUGGCGCCAAGAAUGUCCAUGUUCGAAACGAUACAAAGAAGUAGAAGCAUCCAGAAACAGACGUAAAUACGGUAAUCUUGCUUUU
Non-coding RNA from Paramuricea clavata, 1937 nucleotides. NCBI's taxonomy places the organism in Eukaryota, Metazoa, Cnidaria, Anthozoa, Malacalcyonacea, Plexauridae. The record is from the annotation of a GenBank genome assembly.